UCACUGCUGAGGAGUUCCACAAUAGGACGAAACGGCCGUCCAAUGC
RNAcentral lists this non-coding RNA (46 nucleotides) under Schistosoma curassoni. The record is from RNAcentral. Lineage: Eukaryota; Metazoa; Platyhelminthes; Trematoda; Strigeidida; Schistosomatidae.